Molecule: transfer RNA, 68 nt
Filed under: Oxypoda opaca
Lineage: Eukaryota; Metazoa; Arthropoda; Insecta; Coleoptera; Staphylinidae
Description: tRNA-Ser
Source: RNAcentral
AGUUAUUGAACUUGAAUAAGUAUAUAUUUUGAAAAUAUAAAAAAGAAGUAUAAAUCUUCUAAUAACUU